ACGCUGGCGGCAAGCUUAACACAUGCAAGUCGAGCGGCAUCUAGAAAAAGUGUUUUUCGCUUUUUUGUAGCGAGCGGCGAACGGGUGAGUAAUGUAUGGGGAUCUACCUAUAGGAGGGGGACAACUAUUGGAAACGAUAGCUAAUACCGCGUAUUCUCCAAGGAGAAAAGUAGGGGACUAUUUAAAAAAUAGCCUUACGCCUAUAGAUGAACCCAUAUGAGAUUAGCUAGUAGGUGUGGUAAAGGCACACCUAGGCAACGAUCUCUAGCUGGUCUGAGAGGACGAUCAGCCACACUGGGACUGAGACACGGCCCAGACUCCUACGGGAGGCAGCAGUGGGGAAUCUUGCACAAUGGGCGAAAGCCUGAUGCAGCUAUGCCGCGUGUAUGAAGAAGGCCUUAGGGUUGUAAAGUACUUUCGGUUGUGAAGAAAGUAUUAAAUUUAAUAAAUUUAAUAUGUGACGUUAACAACAAAAGAAGCACCGGCUAACUCCGUGCCAGCAGCCGCGGUAAUACGGAGGGUGCUAGCGUUAGUCGGAAUUACUGGGCGUAAAGGGCAUGUAGGCGGUUAAUUAAGUUGGAUGUGAAAUCCCUAAGCUUAACUUAGGAAUAGCAUUCAAAACUAAUUAUCUAGAGUUUUGUAGAGGGGGGUAGAAUUCCAUGUGUAGCGGUGAAAUGCGUAGAGAUAUGGAAGGAAUACCAGUGGCUAAAGCGACCCCCUAGUCAAAACUGACGCUCAUGUGCGAAAGCGUGGGGAGCAAACAGGAUUAGAUACCCUGGUAGUCCAUGCUGUAAACGAUGUCGAUUUGGAGGUUGUGGUUUAAAUCAUGGCUUCCGGAGCUAACGUGUUAAAUCGACCGCCUGGGGAGUACGGCCGCAAGGUUAAAACUCAAAUGAAUUGACGGGGGCCCGCACAAGCGGUGGAGCAUGUGGUUUAAUUCGAUGCAACGCGAAAAACCUUACCUACUCUUGACAUCCAGCGAAGUUUUUAGAGAUAAAAACGUGCCUUAGGGAACGCUGAGACAGGUGCUGCAUGGCUGUCGUCAGCUUGUGUUGUGAAAUGUUGGGUUAAGUCCCGCAACGAGCGCAACCCUUAUCCUUUGUUGCCAGUGAGUAAAGUCGGGGACUCAAAGGAGACUGCCAAUGAUAAAUUGGAGGAAGGUGGGGACGACGUCAUGUCAUCAUGGCCCUUACGAGUAGGGCUACACACGUGCUACAAUGGCAUAUACAAAGAGAAGCAAUCCAGCAAUGGGAAGCAGAACUCAUAAAGUAUGUCAAAAUUCGGAUUAGAGUCUGCAACUCGACUCUAUGAAGUCGGAAUCGCUAGUAAUCGCGGAUCAGCAUGCCGCGGUGAAUACGUUCCCGGGCCUUGUACACACCGCCCGUCACACCAUGGAAGUGAGUUGCAAAAGAAGUAGGUAGCUUAACCAUGUUUUUUAAAAUUGGAUGGCGCUUACCACUUUGUGGUUCUAAUCUGGGUUGAAAUGGAAUCAAGGUAACCAAGGGCGAAUU
RNAcentral lists this ribosomal RNA (1511 nucleotides) under Arsenophonus endosymbiont of Trichobius parasiticus. RNAcentral describes it as "bacterial SSU rRNA". It matches the Rfam family "Bacterial small subunit ribosomal RNA". Lineage: Bacteria; Pseudomonadati; Pseudomonadota; Gammaproteobacteria; Enterobacterales; Morganellaceae. The record is from RNAcentral.